This 174-nucleotide non-coding RNA is filed under the name Brochothrix thermosphacta. RNAcentral's name for it is "Lysine sequence". It matches the Rfam family "Lysine riboswitch aptamer". Rfam says of the family: Riboswitches are metabolite binding domains within certain messenger RNAs that serve as precision sensors for their corresponding targets. Lineage: Bacteria; Bacillati; Bacillota; Bacilli; Caryophanales; Listeriaceae. The record is from Rfam by way of RNAcentral.
AAUGUGGAUAGAGGCGCGAGAGCUAUCAGUAGGGUAUUGGAUGUGUUUACGAGCACAGUUGAAAGUAUUUGAAAGGGGUUAUCGCCGAAGUGGGGGACGUUCGUUAAUGAACCUGCUGGUGUGUUGUAUAAGAUAUAACACAUUGUCAAGAAGUCUUGGAGGGCUAUUCUCAUU